This 497-nucleotide ribosomal RNA is filed under the name uncultured bacterium. Its description in RNAcentral is "partial 16S ribosomal RNA". It matches the Rfam family "Bacterial small subunit ribosomal RNA", at positions 28 to 507 of the family's 1533-position model. The record is from RNAcentral.
GAUGAACGCUGACGGCGUGCCUAAUACAUGCAAGUCGAGCGAACGGACGAGAAGCUUGCUUCUCUGAUGUUAGCGGCGGACGGGUGAGUAACACGUGGAUAACCUACCUAUAAGACUGGGAUAACUUCGGGAAACCGGAGCUAAUACCGGAUAAUAUUUUGAACCGCAUGGUUCAAAAGUGAAAGACGGUCUUGCUGUCACUUAUAGAUGGAUCCGCGCUGCAUUAGCUAGUUGGUAAGGUAACGGCUUACCAAGGCAACGAUGCAUAGCCGACCUGAGAGGGUGAUCGGCCACACUGGAACUGAGACACGGUCCAGACUCCUACGGGAGGCAGCAGUAGGGAAUCUUCCGCAAUGGGCGAAAGCCUGAUGGAGCAACGCCGCGUGAGUGAUGAAGGUCUUCGGAUCGUAAAACUCUGUUAUUAGGGAAGAACAUAUGUGUAAGUAACUGUGCACAUCUUGACGGUACCUAAUCAGAAAGCCACGGCUAACUACGUG